Molecule: transfer RNA, 70 nt
Filed under: Escherichia coli
Lineage: Bacteria; Pseudomonadati; Pseudomonadota; Gammaproteobacteria; Enterobacterales; Enterobacteriaceae
Also listed under: 42 other names
Description: tRNA-Val
Rfam family: tRNA
About the family: Transfer RNA (tRNA) molecules are approximately 80 nucleotides in length. Their secondary structure includes four short double-helical elements and three loops (D, anti-codon, and T loops).
Source: RNAcentral
GGUGAUUAGCUCAGCUGGGAGAGCACCUCCCUUACAAGGAGGGGGUCGGCGGUUCGAUCCCGUCAUCACC